GGAUGAAGCAGGACUUUGAAAGCAAUUUGUUUGCUGAGCAAAAUCUACCCUUCUCACAGCCCCCAACUUCCUCCUGCCUCCUGGAUAUUUUAUUGGUUUAUUUGAGAGAGAGCGUGUGAGCGAGAAGCACAAGGAGGAGGGGAGGCAGAGGAGAAGCAGGCUCUCCGCGGAGCAGGGAGCCCGAUGCGGGGCUCGAUCCCAGGACCUGGGAUCACGACCUGAGCUGAAGGCAGACACUUCACCAACUAAACCAUCCAGGUGCCUAGUUUGUUUUUGUUUUUGUUUUUGA
Molecule: long non-coding RNA, 289 nt
Filed under: Mustela putorius furo (domestic ferret)
Lineage: Eukaryota; Metazoa; Chordata; Mammalia; Carnivora; Mustelidae
Description: lncRNA (ENSMPUG00000030943.1)
Source: RNAcentral